Regulatory RNA element from Homo sapiens (human), 65 nucleotides. Lineage: Eukaryota; Metazoa; Chordata; Mammalia; Primates; Hominidae. The record is from Rfam.
ACUACAUCUUAAAGAAACAGCCUUCAAAUGCCCCUCUACAGCUUUUCAGUAGCAUAAGAUAAAUU